Molecule: long non-coding RNA, 1869 nt
Organism: Eriocheir sinensis (Chinese mitten crab)
Lineage: Eukaryota; Metazoa; Arthropoda; Malacostraca; Decapoda; Varunidae
Exons: 4
Source: RefSeq, a predicted model, not a curated record
GCCGGGCAGGUGGGGCUCGUUAGCCGUGGUAGGCAAUCUGCCUAGGAGAGCAAACUCCGAACAACAAACCCGGGCAGGUGAGGUUCGUUAGCCGUGGUAGGCAAUUCACCUAGGAGAGCAAACUCCGAACAAUAAACCCGGGCAGGUGAGGUUCGUUAGCCGUGGUAGGCAAUUCACCUAGGAGAGCAAACUCCGAACAAUAAACCCGGGCAGGUUGGGCUCGUGAGCCGUCAUAGGUAAUACACCUAGGAGAGCAAACUCCGAACAAUAAACCCGGGCAGGUUGGGCUCGUGAGCCGUCAUAGGUAAUACACCUAGGAGAGCAAACUCCGAACAAUAAACCCGGGCAGGUGCAGGUCGUUAGCGUGAGCAGUUCACCUAGGAGAGCAAACUCCGAUUACAAACCCGGGCAGGUGGAGGUCGUUAGCGAAAGCAAUUCAUCUAGGAGAGCAAACUCCGAUUACAAACCCGGGCAGGUGGAGGUCGUUAGCGAAAGCAAUUCAUCUAGGAGAGCAAACUCCGAUUACAAACCCGGGCAGGUGGAGGUCGUUAGCGAAAGCAAUUCAUCUAGGAGAGCAAACUCCGAUUACAAACCCGGGCAGGUGGAGGUCGUUAGCGAAAGCAGUUCACCUAGGAGAGCAAACUCCGAUUACAAACCCGGGCAGGUGAGGUUCGUUAGCCGUGGUAGGCAAUUCACCUAGGAGAGCAAACUCUGAACAAUAAACCCGGGCAGGUUGGGCUCGUGAGCCGCCAUAGGUAAUACACCUAGGAGAGCAAACUCCGAACAAUAAACCCGGGCAGGUGGAGCUCGUCAGCCGUGGUAGGCAGUCUGCCUAGGAGAGCAAACUCCGAACAAUAAACCGGGGCUUGUGGUGCUCGUUAGAUGUCGUAGACAAUCCACGUGAUGGGAACACCAAUGAAAAGGAAAAUAAAAAGGAACACCAGAAAAAGGAAAAUAAUGUAACAAAACAUCAAGAAAAGAAAAUAAAAAACACAGAUCAUCCACCUUCAGGCCCUAACAUCUCCAAAAUUAUGGAUGAGUCUUUUCUGGGGAGAAAGAGGCUCAUCCAGACCAAAGAACAUCAAAAGUGGAUGAUAUAGAAAGGAACACCAAAAAAAUGGGAAAAAGAGAAAAAAACAUCGCAAAAGAAAAGUAACAACAAUAACAGAAGGUCAAGAAAAGUAACAUACAAAGAAACAUCAUCCACCAUUCGGCCCCAAACUAACAUCACCAAAAUUAUGGGUGGGUCUUUUCUGGGGAGAAAGAGGCUCACCCAGACCAACGAACAUCAAAGAGGGAUGAUAUAGAAAAGAACACCAAAAAAUAGGGGAAAAAAGAGCAAAAAAAUAUCGCAAAAGAAAAGUAACAGCAAUAACAGAACAACAUCAAGAAAAGUAACAUACAAAGAAACAUCAUCCACCAUUCGGCCCCAAACUAACAUCACCAAAAUCAUGGGUGGGUCUCUUCUGGGAGGAAAGCGGCUCACCCAGACCAAUGAACAUCAACAAGAGGAUGAUAUGAAAUAAAAGAACAUCAAAAAAGAAAAACAACAGCAAGAAAACAAAGAAAAAGAUAAAGAAAAGAACAGGAAAAAGAAACAAAAAGAAAAAGAAAAACACCAAAAUAAAAUAAAACAAAAACAAAAAAAUAAUCCAAAUAAAUAAAUAAAUAAACAAAUACAGAAUACAGUAAAAUUAACGAACUAACUAACUAAUUCAAACUGUCUAACUAUUAAACUACCUAUCUAACUAAGGGUAUUAUACAAGGGUACUAUUGGACUACCUAUUAACUAACUAACUAUCAAAUCAUCUAACGAUCGAACAUGUAUUUGUCUGACUCUUUAUCUAUUUAUCUGCAUGGCUAUCUAUC